RNAcentral lists this unclassified non-coding RNA (220 nucleotides) under Hevea brasiliensis (rubber tree). Lineage: Eukaryota; Viridiplantae; Streptophyta; Magnoliopsida; Malpighiales; Euphorbiaceae. The record is from RNAcentral.
GUUGAAAUGAUGAUUUUAGGGAAGUUUGCUCUGCUUAAUUAUGAUGAACCCUUCGGGGUGGCCCAGUGGUUUGAGUUUGGAUUUUCCAUGCGGGAGGUCUCAAGUUCGAAACUCCUUGCCAGGGAAAGCAAGGGGUUUGCCUUUUGGGUCGAGCUUGUCGCUCCAGGCUUGUCUAGUGCGGUUACCUCUCCUAUGUGGUUACCUCUCCUAUGUGGUUUGC